Molecule: ribosomal RNA, 1343 nt
Filed under: uncultured bacterium
Lineage: Bacteria
Description: 16S ribosomal RNA
Rfam family: Bacterial small subunit ribosomal RNA
Source: RNAcentral
GACGAACGCUGGCGGCGUGCUUAACACAUGCAAGUCGAACGGAAAGGCCCUGCUUUUGUGGGGUGCUCGAGUGGCGAACGGGUGAGUAACACGUGAGUAACCUGCCCUUGACUUUGGGAUAACUUCAGGAAACUGGGGCUAAUACCGGAUAGGAGCUCCUGCUGCAUGGUGGGGGUUGGAAAGUUUCGGCGGUUGGGGAUGGACUCGCGGCUUAUCAGCUUGUUGGUGGGGUAGUGGCUUACCAAGGCUUUGACGGGUAGCCGGCCUGAGAGGGUGACCGGCCACAUUGGGACUGAGAUACGGCCCAGACUCCUACGGGAGGCAGCAGUGGGGAAUAUUGCACAAUGGGCGGAAGCCUGAUGCAGCAACGCCGCGUGCGGGAUGACGGCCUUCGGGUUGUAAACCGCUUUCGCCUGUGACGAAGCGUGAGUGACGGUAAUGGGUAAAGAAGCACCGGCUAACUACGUGCCAGCAGCCGCGGUGAUACGUAGGGUGCGAGCGUUGUCCGGAUUUAUUGGGCGUAAAGGGCUCGUAGGUGGUUGAUCGCGUCGGAAGUGUAAUCUUGGGGCUUAACCCUGAGCGUGCUUUCGAUACGGGUUGACUUGAGGAAGGUAGGGGAGAAUGGAAUUCCUGGUGGAGCGGUGGAAUGCGCAGAUAUCAGGAGGAACACCAGUGGCGAAGGCGGUUCUCUGGGCCUUUCCUGACGCUGAGGAGCGAAAGCGUGGGGAGCGAACAGGCUUAGAUGCCCCGGUAGUCCACGCUGUAAACGGUGGGUACUAGGUGUGGGGUCCAUUCCACGGGUUCCGUGCCGUAGCUAACGCUUUAAGUACCCCGCCUGGGGAGUACGGCCGCAAGGCUAAAACUCAAAGGAAUUGACGGGGCCCCGCACAAGCGGCGGAGCAUGCGGAUUAAUUCGAUGCAACGCGUAGAACCUUACCUGGGUUUGACAUGGAUCGGGAGUGCUCAGAGAUGGGUGUGCCUCUUUUGGGGUCGGUUCACAGGUGGUGCAUGGCUGUCGUCAGCUCGUGUCGUGAGAUGUUGGGUUAAGUCCCGCAACGAGCGCAACCCUUGUUCACUGUUGCCAGCACGUUAUGGUGGGGACUCAGUGGAGACCGCCGGGGUCAACUCGGAGGAAGGUGGGGAUGACGUCAAGUCAUCAUGCCCCUUAUGUCCAGGGCUUCACGCAUGCUACAAUGGCUGGUACAGAGAGUGGCGAGCCUGUGAGGGUGAGCGAAUCUCGGAAAGCCGGUCUCAGUUCGGAUUGGGGUCUGCAACUCGACCUCAUGAAGUCGGAGUCGCUAGUAAUCGCAGAUCAGCAACGCUGCGGUGAAUACGUUCCCGGG